GAUGAAGAACGUAGCGAAAUGCGAUAAUUAAUGUGAAUUGCAGAAUUCAGUGAAUCAUCGAAUCUUUGAACGCACAUUGCGCCCGCCAGUAUUCUGGCGGGCAUGCCUGUUCGAGCGUCAUUUCAACCAUCAAGCCCCCGGGCUUGUGUUGGGGUCCUGCGGCUGCCGCAGGCCCUGAAAAGCAGUGGCGGGCUCGCUGUCACACCGAGCGUAGUAGAUUUUAUCUCGCUCAGGGCGUGCUGCGGGUUCCGGCCGUUAAACCACCUUCAUAACCCAAGGUUGACCUCGGAUCAGGUAGGAAGACCCGCUGAACUUAAGCAUAUCAAUAAGCGGAGGA
RNAcentral lists this unclassified non-coding RNA (337 nucleotides) under soil metagenome. Its description in RNAcentral is "partial contains 5.8S ribosomal RNA, internal transcribed spacer 2, and large subunit ribosomal RNA". The stretch from base 1 to 120 matches the Rfam family "5.8S ribosomal RNA", at positions 35 to 154 of the family's 154-position model. The record is from RNAcentral.